AGUGUAGGCGGGAUCGUAAGUUAGGAGUUUAAUACAUGGGCUUAACCCAUGAGCUGCUUUUAGUACUGCGGUUCUUGAGUAUGGGAGAGGGCGAUGGAAUUCCAGGUGUAGCGGUGGAAUGCGUAGAUAUCUGGAAGAACACCAGUAGCAAAGGCGGUCGCCUGGCCCAAUACUGACGCUGAUGCUCGAAAGCUAGGGGAGCAAACAGGAUUAGAUACCCUGGUAGUCCUAGCCGUAAACGAUGGACACUAGUUGCUGGAGGAGUCAAUCCUUUCGGUGACGAAGCUAACGCAUUAAGUGUCCCGCCUGGGGAGUACGUUCGCAAGGAUGAA
This 332-nucleotide ribosomal RNA is filed under the name uncultured bacterium. RNAcentral's name for it is "bacterial SSU rRNA". It matches the Rfam family "Bacterial small subunit ribosomal RNA", at positions 568 to 898 of the family's 1533-position model. The record is from RNAcentral.